Non-coding RNA from Chiloscyllium plagiosum (whitespotted bambooshark), 1502 nucleotides. Lineage: Eukaryota; Metazoa; Chordata; Chondrichthyes; Orectolobiformes; Hemiscylliidae. The record is from RefSeq and is a predicted model, not a curated record.
UUGAGUCAUGUGACGGCAGGUUGGAAGAGUGAAGAGUGUAUGUCUGCAGUAUGUGUGACGUUCUGGACUUUUCCAUGUGUUCCAAACUCCCAUAUCUGGGAGUCCCAUAUUCCGGAUUUCUGAACUUGAACAGCGUCUGGAGUCUCUGUCCUCAUCCUGGAGGCAAAUAACACUUUUCAGGAGCUGGUCUUCCACAGAUUAGAAGCAUACAGACAGAGAGGGAAUGGGUGACUGCCAGGCUAAGAGAAGCAGGCAGAUAGUGCAGGAGUCACCUGAGUCUGUCUUACUUGCUAAUUGGUAUUCCAGUUGGAAACUAGUGAGGGUGAUGGUUCCUCAGGAGAAUUCAAACAGAGUCAAUACCAUGGCACCAUGGGUAACUCAGUCGGAAAAAAAAAUUGAAAAGCAACAGUUACAGGGGAGUCCAUAGUCUUGGGAUCAGUUGGGCAUUUCUGUAGCAGUAAACAUAACCCAAAAAUGGGGUGUUGCCUUUCUGGCGUGCCACAGUCCAAUAAUGGCGUGGAGCAGCUGCAAGAAUCUUACUGUUUAAGAACAUUUGCCUUAGCAUCGGUAAAUCUGUGUGAACAGGACACCAAGUGAUAACAUUCACACUGUGGGAGCGCCAUCAGCCAAAAGCUGUGGCCCACUUUAACGCUAAUGAUGGAGGUCAGGAGAGGGAUGAGGUCCUGAAGACACAUGUCAGGGUGUUAAGAAGGAAAUUUCCAAAAAAAGUCUUGAUCAGUAAUCCCGGGAAAGUCCCAGGAUUACUCCCAGUGCCAUGUGCUAGUGAGCAUUAGAGCAGGAAGAUGAGUUGAUUGAGCACGCAGCUGGAGAACUGGUGCAGGGGGAAGGGUAUCAGCUUUCUCAGGAAUUGGCACUGGUUCUGGGACAAGUGGGAUCUGUGCAAGCUGCAUGUGUUACACCUUAAUGGGACUCGGAUUGGGACUGUGAUCCUCACAGGAAGUUGAAGUGUUGUUGGAGUGGAUUGAAACUUAGUUGUUGGAUGAUGGGAAUGUGAAGUGUAACCCAAAUUGGAAGAAUGUAAAAUUGGAAACAGGAAGUUGAAAAUAUGCAAGAGGAUCUAGAAGACAGGAGGGACAAUAAUGGGAUAAGGGGCAGUGGAAAGGUGAAGGCAUACCAAUGCAGAAGUGAAGAGGGCAUCUUCAGUGUUUGAUACGAGCAGACUAACUUUGGUUGUGAAUUGGUUACAAUGGCAGAAAAGUGCGGAAACAAGGAUUUGAUGUGCCUUUUUUGUUAAUACAGAAAAGCAGGUGGUCCUGUGGAUGCUGGUCCAGAAUACCAGAAGAACAUGGAGGAUGAGAUUGCCAAGUUGCAGCGGCUCUAUGGGGGAGGAGACCUCACCAAAUUCCCAGAUUUUAAAUUUGAAGAACCGAAAUUUGAUGAAGUCAGCAAGUGAGUGAUGACCUUCAGAAAGGAAAAGAUCAGCUGUUCUUUGAUAUUACCUGGGACUGUAAAUGUAAUUUAAUAAAUUCCACUGCACUAAA